UACGGAGGGUGCGAGCGUUGUCCGGAAUCAUUGGGCGUAAAGGGCGCGUAGGUGGCCUGGCAAGCGUGCGGUGAAAGCUCGGGGCUCAACCCCGAGUCGGCCGUGCGAACUGCUAUGGCUCGAGCACUGUAGAGGCAGGCGGAAUUCCGGGUGUAGCGGUGGAAUGCGUAGAGAUCGGGAAGAACAUCGGUGGCGAAGGCGCUCUACUGGACCACAACUGACACUCAGGGACGAAAGCUAGGGGAGCGAAUGGG
This 254-nucleotide ribosomal RNA is filed under the name uncultured bacterium. RNAcentral describes it as "partial 16S ribosomal RNA". It matches the Rfam family "Bacterial small subunit ribosomal RNA", at positions 524 to 776 of the family's 1533-position model. The record is from RNAcentral.